GUCUCGUCUUUCGAGGAUCACUGGAGGGCAGUCUGGUGCCAGCAGCCGCGGUAACUCCAGCUCCAGAAGCGUAUAUUAAAGUUGUUGCAGUUAAAAAGCUCGUAGUUGGAUCUGGGUCGCAUGGCUACAUGCCGUUGCUCGUAUUCCUGGCCUGGUUCACACCGGGACGGGUUUGUGAGUCGGUGUCGUGGUUGUGCAGCCUUUCUGCCGUGUCUGUUUCGACAGGUGUUAGCAUGAUUGGUGGGUUCGUCCUGCUGAUCUGUUGACAUGCUUCCAGGUGCCCUUAACCGGGUGUCGGGGGCGGACGGCACGUUUACUUUGAACAAAUUUGAGUGCUCAAAGCAGGCCCGUGUGCCUGAAAAUUCUUGCAUGGAAUAAUGGAAUAGGACUUCGGUUCUAUUUUGUUGGUUUUCGGAUCCGAAGUAAUGGUUAAAAGGGACAGACGGGGGCAUUUGUAUGGCGGUGUUAGAGGUGAAAUUCUUGGAUCACCGCCAGACAAACUAC
Molecule: ribosomal RNA, 504 nt
Filed under: Pseudamphistomum truncatum
Lineage: Eukaryota; Metazoa; Platyhelminthes; Trematoda; Opisthorchiida; Opisthorchiidae
Description: SSU rRNA
Rfam family: Eukaryotic small subunit ribosomal RNA
Source: RNAcentral